UUGAUAUUAAGAAAUCUGAAAAACUUUGAAUAGGUAGUAAAAGAUGAUGAAUUCUUAGAGCUUUACCUCAGGAUGUGUAAUUUUCAUGCUUUUCCUUUCUAGAAAUCUAGGAAACCUGACAUGGGACCUUUGGUAAAUACAUUAUUAUUCAUACAUUUUGAUGGAAUAUAACUAAUAUGUUUAUUUUCUCUAAACCAUAGUUUCGUAAGUAUAAGCCACACCUUUGAUUUACCUACCCUAUCUUCUUUACUGAUGAAGCUGAAACUACUUUGUGAUGCCUGUUGUCCCAGAUCUUUCUGUUAAUUGCCUAACAACAAACCAGUUUAGAAACAUCAACUGGAAUCAAUUUGCAUUUGAAAAUUAGAUCAGCACAAAGACUUGAUAUUGUGGAAUGACUAGCAAACAAGCAAUGUCAUCUAACGAACAAGAAAGGCUCUUGUGUUAUAAUGGGGAAGUCCUUGUUUUCCAGUUGUCUAAAGGAAAUUUUGCAGAUAAAGAGCCUACAAAAACACCCAUAUUACAUGUCAGAAGAAUGAUAUUUGACAGAGGAACAAAAGUA
RNAcentral lists this small RNA (559 nucleotides) under Pongo abelii (Sumatran orangutan). RNAcentral's name for it is "retained intron". Lineage: Eukaryota; Metazoa; Chordata; Mammalia; Primates; Hominidae. The record is from RNAcentral.